RNAcentral lists this small RNA (238 nucleotides) under Arabidopsis thaliana (thale cress). Its description in RNAcentral is "ATSL263680". Lineage: Eukaryota; Viridiplantae; Streptophyta; Magnoliopsida; Brassicales; Brassicaceae. The record is from RNAcentral.
AAAAAAAUAAGGGAGAUUUGCAAAACUACCCUUUUUUUACUACCCUUUUGCAAUAAUACCUUUUUGUGUUGUCCAUUUUUAAAAAUACACAUUUCCUUGAACAGAAUGACCAAAUUACCCUCAUCCAAUAGGAACAUGUAAUAGGAACAAGUAAUAGGAAACUAAAAUUUUUCCGCCAAAUUUUUGGCGCCAAAAUUUAUUUUUCCCGCCAAAACAAAAUUUCCGCCAAAAUAAAAAA